AGUGCGAAUGCUGACAUAAGUAACGAUAAAGCGGGUGAAAAGCCCGCUCGCCGGAAGACCAAGGGUUCCUGUCCAACGUUAAUCGGGGCAGGGUGAGUCGACCCCUAAGGCGAGGCCGAAAGGCGUAGUCGAUGGGAAACGGGUUAAUAUUCCCGUACUUGGUGUUACUGCGAAGGGGGGACGGAGAAGGCUAUGUUGGCCGGGCGACGGUUGUCCCGGUUUAAGCGUGUAGGUGUGUGUUCCAGGUAAAUCCGGUUCACUUUAACACUGAGGCGUGAUGACGAGGCACUACGGUGCUGAAGCAACAAAUGCCCUGCUUCCAGGAAAAGCCUCUAAGCAUCAGGUAACAUCAAAUCGUACCCCAAACCGACACAGGUGGUCAGGUAGAGAAUACCAAGGCGCUUGAGAGAACUCGGGUGAAGGAACUAGGCAAAAUGGUGCCGUAACUUCGGGAGAAGGCACGCUGACAC
This 470-nucleotide ribosomal RNA is filed under the name Salmonella enterica subsp. enterica serovar London. RNAcentral describes it as "partial 23S ribosomal RNA". It matches the Rfam family "Bacterial large subunit ribosomal RNA", at positions 1287 to 1757 of the family's 2925-position model. Lineage: Bacteria; Pseudomonadati; Pseudomonadota; Gammaproteobacteria; Enterobacterales; Enterobacteriaceae. The record is from RNAcentral.